This 9345-nucleotide long non-coding RNA is filed under the name Brassica napus (rape). Its description in RNAcentral is "long non-coding RNA (BNAP_LNC014404)". Lineage: Eukaryota; Viridiplantae; Streptophyta; Magnoliopsida; Brassicales; Brassicaceae. The record is from RNAcentral.
CAAGAACAAGUUUAUGAUUCAUGAAGUGGAGAGGGGAAAUCUCCCUUACUCCCUUAAAGAGUUUACAAUUGUUUACAAGAGGCUUAAAUACAUAAAUGGAGGCUGGAUACAUCAGAUAACCUAAGCAUGUGAAGUCAACAUAAAGGGGAGCACCCAUUUUGAAUUCUAUGGACCAGAAUCAUCACAUGCUUGGCCAAUGGGAGUCUUUGGUGUGUCUGGCCUUUACAGGCUGUUAUGAGCUGUCUUGUGGACUGAAUACUUGGCUGUGAUUGGUCUGUGUGAGCUGGAGAGAAAGGCACCUUCCUGGUUGCUUCCUAAGGCAUCUUUGAAUAUGCCAAAUGGAUCUUUCUCCCUUGGAUAGUCUCACACGCCCUUCUCCUUGCCUUGUCUCCCAAGACAUGAUCAGACUUGGCUGUACGGAUGUCAGGACCGUACACCUUGUGCCCUAAGAUUGCACAUUCCUCAAAUGUGCUCAAAUGGCCGAAAUGAUAAGUUUCGGGUCGAUCAUGUCCGUACGGUCUGUACCGUUCGUACGUCCGUCCGUACAGGUCGAUCCCUAACUUUGCACCAUCGACCAUAAUCUUCCAAACUCUUCCAAUGUCUUGUAAACACCAUCAAGACACUUCUUAGAUCUUGUCUCUUCUUUGCAUCAGCUUCUAAACACUUCCGAAGCUUAAUAGAACUCUUCUGGAGAUCUUCUGGAGCUUGCCCUAUUUAUAAACAAGCUCCAUCUUCUCUUCAGUUCAACACUCUCCCUCAAGCUUGACUUUAGGAGAUCCUAAGUCAAGCUUGGAACCCUGAAGAGUCUCCCUCAUUAAAAACCUUACAAGGAAAACCCAUUGGGACAAAACCUUGCAAGGGAAAAAGAGUAGAGCUCUCCAAAGCCUAGGGAUUGGCCAGUGAGCUCUUGUGCCUUAGAACCAGUGUGGUUGGACACAAGAAGCUCUGGAUCACGGCCUAACAGGUGCAGCAACUCUUCACAGCUUUGCGCACACUUCACACUGUACCUGAUACAUCAUUCCACAAGUGUAUCAGUACUUAUCAAGUAACAUAACUCAAUCAAUUCAUGCUUAUAGACCGUCUUAGUAAGACUAGUAUUCCUCAUAGAUUACUAGAUAUGUUGCCGUCUAGGAAAACUAGUAUUCCUAACGAAUUACUAGAUAUGAUUGAAAAUGAUGAAUUGAAAUUGAGUACGGGGAAACUUCCCUUUUGUUUUGGUGAGGAGUGACUAGAUUGGCUCGUCACUUGAAUUCCUCAUACUAUGUUAUUUCACCAUCCUCAUGGCAACACCAACUCUUCUUGGAACUCUCCUUUGGACCGGCCUGAGUCUUCCCUUCUCUCGUGGCUUCUUGCCAUCUCCAUCAGGUAAGACAUGCCUAGCUCCAUUUUGCUUUGGUGAGGAGUGGCUGCUCUCUUACCAUGAAAGCUCACCAACGCUCCCCCUCAAGCUUGAGACCGAGUAUAGGGAAGAUCCAAGCUUGAAGGUGAGCGCAUACUAAGAUCCAUGAUCACUCUUGUGGGAACACCUCCAUCUUCUUCAGACUUGAUGCUUACAGCUCCACUUAACCACCAUUGCACUGAGGAGAUACCUCAGCUCACUCUCCACGCAUUGCACUGAGGAGAUACCUCACCUCACUCUCCAAGCAUCUCACACCAGAAGCUUAUUGAGUAGCUUUCUUCUUCCCUCUACUUCGGCUGGAUCACUCCAUGAUCAGCUUGCAAUGGUCUUGAGUAGCUAUGAGCUGAUUCAAAGCUUCCCAACUGAAGGUAUCUGUUCUAACUCCAUAUAGUAGCUGAUCCAUAGCUUUCCAACCAGAAGGUAUUGUUCCAACUGAAGGUAACUGCUCUAACUCUAUAUAGUAGCUGAUCCAUAGCUUCCCAACCAGAAGGUAACUGUUCUAGCCCCACUUAAACCACCAUUGCCACAACAUCCUCUCUACCCUCUUUGGAGCAGGCUGUGGACUUCCCACAGAAUGUUGGCAACAUGCUUCAUCUUAUCAUUCCCUUGUAAUGAUAAGGAGGAAACAGGUCUUGAACUUUGGCUCUUCAGGUUGCUCAUUUGAAUCCCCACCGCAAGCUUGAGACCGAGUAUAGGGGAGAUCCAAGCUUGAAAUGAGCCUCUAUGAACUUCAAGACCAGGAGCACAUCACCCUAACAGCUGCGCUUAAAUCACUGAUCCACCCUUUUGCCUUCAGCUUCAAGUACCCUCAGAUCACCGGCCUUCCUCAUGGCUUAGGUGGUGACCUUCUUCUUCUUGUGUGUCUUGAACCAGGAGCUCAACAACCUCGUGGCCUGCGCUUCUUAAACCGGCUUCUACACACAAGAACCUUCCCAUUGCUCCACACAAUGGUUGGUCUUCCGCUUGUAUGUCUUGAACCAGGAGCUCAACAACCUCGUGGCCUGCGCUUCUUAAACCAGCUUCUACACACAAGUAUCUUCCCAUUGCUCCACACAAUGGUUCAAGUCUUCCUCUUGUCUUGGAUAGGUGGUGAGCAGAGAACACUUCUUGUGAACCUGAAACACCACUCAAACUCCAGCAAGGAUAAGACACAAGAGUAUUGGGAUCAAUCCUUGAUUAAUCAUCAGGUUUGAUUCCCAAUCUCACAAGCAAUGCAACAGAUAGACACAAGGCAUUAUCAAGUUCUAUUCUUUGCAAGCUAGCUCUCUAAGAACAAGCAAGAUCCUAACAGAUUCAAGACAAGUUACUUAGGCACUUUUAAAAGCUUCUUUACUCAGCACUUUAGACAUGAAUCUAAUGCUUCAAUGUAAGACAGCCACAAGACUAUAUGCAACAGCUUUAAAUUCAGUUUCAAUCCAUGUAUGCAAGCAGAUUCAGUUAAUCACUCUAAGCAUCACUAUGAAACGAAGCUAAGCAUAUUAAUCACAUUCAGUCACCAAACAAAGCUCUUAAAGUAUCCUGGGACAGAUUCUAAACAUUUUAAUUUAUCAAUCUUUAACAGUCCUCAGGUUUUCAAUCACAUCACACAAUACAACCAGUCAACAACACAAGCUCAUUAUCAAGAGGGUUUUAAAAUCGCUUACACAAGGAACCAGGUUGGUUCCUUAAACCUCCAAGGGGACUGGCCAUGGCUUUUGUUGAAUCUGAGAGUCUGGAUAGUCACCCACCUCCUACUCCUUCAGUUCAUGGCCACCUUCUUGUUUCUCCAACUCAAAGACUCCUCCUUUCUUCAAGUCUUCUAGGCGCCAUCAUCUUGACAGCUUUCAUGAUGAACCGGGUGAAGAAAGCUCUUGGAGGAGGCGCCUUGGAUGAGGUUCGUGAGUCCUCUCCAUACACUUCUGCUUCCAAUGAGUCUCUCCAUCAGGAUAGACAGGAGAAAGGAUAAGAGACACGCCCUUCAGUCUUCUUCUCAUGGAGAAACUGAACUCGGAUGGGAAUGUCUUCAAGGGUUGGAUUUGAGCUGAGGGUAGAGCUUGUGUUGUGCGGAAGCUACAGCUCAGGUUCUGAUGAACCUGGCUCUGAGAACAUAUGAUUUUUAAAGAGAUCUCUACUCUGGUAGUAUGUGUGUGUGUAUAAGCUUCAAUGAAGAAUGAUUAGAGCUUGUUCUAGGUGAUAUAUAGGAAAGGAUUAGUGAGAGUGUUUAUGAGUAUGUGAGACUUAAGAACAGAGAUUGAGAGACUUAAGAGACUAGAGAGAAACUGAGAGAAUAAGAGACUGAAGAUUAGAGAAGGAGAAGGGAAACCCCCUUACUCACUUAAUGUUUCCAAUUGUUUACAAGAAGCUUAAAUACAUAAAUGGAGGCUGAAUUCAUCAGAUAACCUAAGCAUGUGAAGUCAGCAUAAAGGGGAGCCCCAAUUUGAAUUCUAUGGACCAGAAUCAUCACAUGCUUGGCCAAUGGGAGUCUUUGGCGUGUCUGGCCUUUACAGGCUGUCAUGAGCUGUCUUGUGGACUGAAUACUUGGCUGUGAUUGGUCUGUGUGAGCUGGAGAGAAAGGCACCUUCCUGGUUGCUUCCUAAGGCAUCUUUGAAUAUGCCAAAUGGAUCUUUCUCCCUUGGAUAGUCUCACACGCCCUUCUCCUUGCCUUGUCUCCCAAGACAUGAUCAGACUUGGCUGUACGAAUGUCAGGACCGUAUACCUUGUGCCCUAAGAUUGCACAUUCCUCAAAUGUGCUCAAAUGGCCGAAAUGAUAAGUUUCGGGUCGAUCAUGUCCGUACGGUCUGUACCGUUCGUACGUCCGUCCGUACAGGUCGAUCCCUAACUUUGCACCAUCGACCAUAAUCUUCCAAACUCUUCCAAUGUCUUGUAAACACCAUCAAGACACUUCUUAGAUCUUGUCUCUUCUUUGCAUCAGCUUCUAAACACUUCCGAAGCUUAAUAGAACUCUUCUGGAGAUCUUCUGGAGCUUGCCCUAUUUAUAAACAAGCUCCAUCUUCUCUUCAGUUCAACACUCUCCCUCAAGCUUGACUUUAGGAGAUCCUAAGUCAAGCUUGGAACCCUGAAGAGUCUCCCUCAUUAAAAACCUUACAAGGAAAACCCAUUGGGACAAAACCUUGCAAGGGAAAAAGAGUAGAGAUCUCCAAGGCCUAGGGAUUGGCCAGUGAGCUCUUGUGCCUUAGAACCAGUGUGGUUGGACAUAAGAAGCUCUGGAUCACGGCCUAAACAGGUGCAGCAACACUUCAAGGCUUGCGCACACUUCACCACACUUUCUUGGACUCUUCUAUAGAACCGGCUUAGUGUCUCCCCCUUUCAUAUGACUUCAUGCCAUCUUGAAAGGCUAGGAACGACCUGAUCCUCUCCAUUGAGUCUCCAAGUAAGGUACCUGAUACAUCAUUCCACAAGUGUAUCAGUACUUAUCAAGUAACAUAACUCAAUCAAUUCAUGCUUAUAGACCGUCUUAGUAAGACUAGUAUUCCUCAUAGAUUACUAGAUAUGUUGCCGUCUAGGAAAACUAGUAUUCCUAACGAAUUACUAGAUAUGAUUGAAAAUGAUGAAUUGAAAUUGAGUACGGGGAAACUUCCCUUUUGUUUUGGUGAGGAGUGACUAGAUUGGCUCGUCACUUGAAUUCCUCAUACUAUGUUAUUUCACCAUCCUCAUGGCAACACCAACUCUUCUUGGAACUCUCCUUUGGACCGGCCUGAGUCUUGAACCAGGAGCUCAACAACCUCGUGGCCUGCGCUUCUUAAACCGGCUUCUACACACAAGAACCUUCCCAUUGCUCCACACAAUGGUCAAGUCUUCCGCUUGUAUGUCUUGAACCAGGAGCUCAACAACCUCGUGGCCUGCGCUUCUUAAACUAGCUUCUACACACAAGUAUCUUCCCAUUGCUCCACACAAUGGUUCAAGUCUUUCUCUUGUCUUGGAUAGGUGGUGAGCAAAGAACACUUCUUGUGAACCUGAAACACCACUCAAACUCCAGCAAGGAUAAGACACAAGAGUAUUGGGAUCAAUCAUUGAUUAAUCAUCAAGUUUGAUUCCCAAUCUCACAAGCAUUGCAACAGAUUAAAAUAAGUCAUUUUCAAGUUCUAUCUUUGCAAGCAAUCUCUCUAAGCACAAGCACUUUCUUUUCAGAUUUAUGCAAGCUACUUAGGCAUUUUUAAAGCUUCUUUACUCAGCAUUUAGACAUGAAUCUAAUGCUUCAAUGUAAGAUAGCCACAAGACUAUAUGCAACAGCUUUCAAUUCGGUUUCAAUCCAUGUAUGCAAGUAGAUUCAAUCAAUCACAACAAGCAUCAUUAUGAACUGGAGCUAAGCAUAUUAACAUAUCUAGUAAUCCUAGUAAUACUUAUAAGUUACUAGACAUUUUUAAAUGCGCUUACUGCUGCUAGUAAGCCUAGUAUAACUAGUAAGAUUUUCGGAUUACUAGGAAACCAAGCUCUUUAAGUAUCCUGUGACAGAUUCUAAAUUCAUUUUAUUUCAUUUAGUAAUCUUUUAAACAAUCCUCAGGUUUUCAAUCACAUCACAUCAUCACAACCAGUCAACAACACAAGCUCAUUAUCAAGAUGGUUUAUAGAAUCGCUUACAACAAGGAACCAGGUUGAUUCCUUUUGCAUUUUGUGAAACCGGCCAUGACUUUUGUUGGAUCUGAGAGUCUGGAUCAUCACCCACCUCCUUCUCCUUCAGUUCAUGGCCACCAUCUUGUACCAUCAACUCAAAAGACCCCUCCUUUCUUCAUAAAAUCUGGGCGCCAAACUCUUGACACCAUACUCUUGUAGCCGGAUGUGAAACUUCUCUUGGACAAGAAGCUUUGGAGUCAAGUUAGUUAGGCCUCUCCAUACACUUUUGCCUCCAAGGAUAAUCUCCAUCUGAGCAAGUAGAGAACAUGAUGAGGAACCAAGGGAAAUCGCCAAGCUUCAGCCUUCUUCUUCACAAGGGACUGAACCGGAUGGGAAAGCCUCAAUGGUUUGGUUUUGAGCUGAAGCAUGAGCUGUGGACUUGCGGAAUCUUUAGCUCAGGUUCUGAUGAACCUGGCUCUGAUACCAUAUGAGAUUUGUAGAGUUCUCUUCUCUGGUGUAUGUGUGUGUGUAUAAACUCCAAUGGAGAAAGAUGAGAGCUUGCUCUAGGUGAUUUAGAAAGAGAGAUUGUCCAAGAGUGUUUAUGAGAGAAUAAGAGACUUAGGAACAGAGAUUAAGAGACUGAGAGAUUAGGAGAGUAAGAGAUUAGAGAUUAGGGUUUUAGAUUCAAGAACAAGUUUAUGAUUCAUGAAGUGGAGAGGGGAAAUCCCCCUUACUCCCUUAAAGAGUUUACAAUUGUUUACAAGAGGCUUAAAUACAUAAAUGGAGGCUGGAUACAUCAGAUAACCAAAGCAUGUGAAGUCAACAUAAAGGGGAGCACCCCUUUUGAAUUCUAUGGACCAGAAUCAUCACAUGCUUGGCCAAUGGGAGUCUUUGGCGUGUCUGGCCUUUACAGGCUGUCAUGAGCUGUCUUGUGGACUGAAUACUUGGCUGUGAUUGGUCUGUGUGAGCUGGAGAGAAAGGCACCUUCCUGGUUGCUUCCUAAGGCAUCUUUGAAUAUGCCAAAUGGAUCUUUCUCCCUUGGAUAGUCUCACACGCCCUUCUCCUUGCCUUGUCUCCCAAGACAUGAUCAGACUUGGCUGUACGAAUGUCAGGACCGUACACCUUGUGCCCUAAGAUUGCACAUUCCUCAAAUGUGCUCAAAUGGCCGAAAUGAUAAGUUUCGGGUCGAUCAUGUCCGUACGGUCUGUACCGUUCGUACGUCCGUCCGCACAGGUCGAUCCCUAACUUUGCACCAUCGACCAUAAUCUUCCAAACUCUUCCAAUGUCUUGUAAAAACCUUCAAGACACUUCUUAGAUCUUGUCUCUUCUUUGCAUUAGCUUCUAAACACUUCCGAAGCUUAAUAGAACUCUUCUGGAGAUCUUCUGGAGCUUGCCCUAUUUAUAAACAAGCUCCAUCUUCUCUUCAUUUCAACAGAGAGGGCUACCUGAUCAUGAAUCAGAGUGGGUACGCAUGAGUGAAGCUGUUAUGUGGUUUCCAACUGCUAAGCUUGAGGACAAGCUGAAUCUUCGUUUGGGGAAUGUAAGAUAGCCACAAGACUAUAUGCAACAGCUUUCAAUUCGGUUUCAAUCCAUGUAUGCAAGUAGAUUCAAUCAAUCACAACAAGCAUCAUUAUGAACUGGAGCUAAGCAUAUGAUAGGCAGUUGGAAGAUAAGCAGUUAGAAGAUCAGCGUUGAUCGAGAUGAGGUCUAGAUAUUUGUAAUUGCACUUUGUACUUCCCUUUACUUCAAUAAAUACUAUUCUACUACUCAGAUUCAUAACAUACAUAUCCUUAAUCUGAGAGACUUCCGUGUGCUUGCAUGUUUGAUCCAAGAUACUUCGUCAGAGACACGACUCCCCCCGUCGUAUCCACCGCUAUAGUUUUCUUCGUUUAAUGUUGAGAUGUUGGCCAUAACACCCAGUGGUUACGUGCUCGACAGUUUGAGAGUGUUGUCAAGCCAAAGGUAUUGCUUAUCAUUUUAGUAGUGCUUUAUAUGAAAUAUGUUUUAUGUCUGGUUGUGAAUUUUGAAUUGUUCAAAACAGAUCCACUAUAUGCGACUACUGGACCUGGGAUAUGGAAAGUCACAGGUGAAAGGAAGUAUCUCAAUGAACAGAACCGAACAUUAAUGUGAGAAAUAGCCCCAUAUUUAGCACAAUGGUUCUGGUCUGAAUAUAUGCCUAUGCAAUGUUCUUCUCUCUAACUAUUGUUCUGAUUAUUUUUAUUUUCAGAGAAAGCACUUGCUCUUCUCCUAUUAAUUGUGAUGAGUAUAGUUAUGUCAUUACCAAGUUUAAUGUCUACUUAAACGCAUAAUUUCACGGUAAGUCUUCACAUAGUUAAAUUUACGCAUACCAAAUUAGUUGAACAAAAAAUUGGGCAUGCACAAGAUUACAUGGCUUAAUUUGACUUACAUAUUUCAUUUAAUGUUGAGAUUUUGAUCCUUUGAGAGUUCAGUAACUAGAACCAGUUUUUUCAUUCUCCAUUUUCCAUUUCAUAUGCUCAAAUGGUUAUCAUGAUCUGAGUUUUGGUCUCAAAAAUUCUGUUACUCUGUAUUUCCACUCAACCUUUCAUCUACUACCGAUAUUACAUACAGUUCAGUUCAUUUUUGAUUUUUUUUUUAAUUCUUGCAGAUUGGUGAAUAUGCGUGAUAAAGAUAUGAGCUGUGGACUUGCGGAAUCUUUAGCUCAGGUUCUGAUGAACCUGGCUCUGAUACCAUAUGAGAUUUGUAGAGUUCUCUUCUCUGGUGUAUGUGUGUGUGUAUAAACUCCAAUGGAGAAAGAUGAGAGCUUGCUCUAGGUGAUUUAGAAAGAGAGAUUGUCCAAGAGUGUUUAUGAGAGAAUAAGAGACUUAGGAACAGAGAUUAAGAGACUGAGAGAUUAGGAGAGUAAGAGAUUAGAGAUUAGGGUUUUAGAUUCAAGAACAAGUUUAUGAUUCAUGAAGUGGAGAGGGGAAAUCCCCCUUACUCCCUUAAAGAGUUUACAAUUGUUUACAAGAGGCUUAAAUACAUAAAUGGAGGCUGGAUACAUCAGAUAACCAAAGCAUGUGAAGUCAACAUAAAGGGGAGCACCCAUUUUGAAUUCUAUGGACCAGAAUCAUCACAUGCUUGGCCAAUGGGAGUCUUUGGCGUGUCUGGCCUUUACAGGCUGUUAUGAGCUGUCUUGUGGACUGAAUACUUGGCUGUGAUUGGUCUGUGUGAGCUGGAGAGAAAGGCACCUUCCUGAUUGCUUCCUAAGGCAUCUUUGAAUAUGCCAAAUGGAUCUUUCUCCCUUGGAUAGUCUCACACGCCCUUCUCCUUGCCUUGUCUCCCAAGACAUGAUCAGACUUGGCUGUACGAAUGUCAGGACCGUACACCUUGUGCCCUAAGAUUGCACAUUCCUCAAAUGUGCUCAAAUGGUCUAC